AUGGCCUGCUACCCUUACAACCCGCUCCCCCACCUUCCUCCUGGCACUACGAUCAUCCCCCCUGGCCCUCUCCAUGCUUGCCGUGGAUAUGUGGUUCUUGGAGCUGACCUCCCGAUGGUCUACGAUGAGUGGGCAAUUGCCACGCUCAUCCCCGAGGUAUCUGCCGAGGAUUUUCAUGGUGCCAUUGCUCUGAUCACGAACUACCUGGAGGGACAUGGAUGGCGCAUCAACUACACAUCCCGCUAUGGUAUGGGUACUGCUUUGGUUCAGUUUACAACUGCCUGUUCGUGUGAUACUGCUGUCAGUCUUAGUCCGUUUCAGAUUGGGGACUCUGUUCUUAGAAUUAGCAAACAAGAUAGAGGUCUUAAUUAUCGAAGCAUUACUUUCACACAUGAUGUUUGGAUCCUACUUAUGAACUAUCCAUUAGAAUGAUGGGAUGUUGGGGUGAUUAGCCGCACUGUUUCACCAUAUGGUCGCUUUCUGAUCUGGAACAAAGAUCCAAGGGACAAAGCAAGGGUUAUUGUUAAGCUCAGGGUCAUGAAUGUGACAAUUCCAGUUAGCUUAGUAGUACUGAGGAAUCUUGAUGAUGUUGGCUAUGGUGAUUCAUGGACUUGCCCAACUUAUAUUUUGUCGAGGGAUCUGAUUGGUCAGCAAGGGGGUGAUGAGGAUCCAUUGCCACCUGAUGGUGGAAAUCCUCACCCCUUCCUCAUGUUCAUGGAGGUUUUUGGCAUGAUGAGGUUUUAG
RNAcentral lists this ribosomal RNA (744 nucleotides) under Triticum aestivum (bread wheat). Its description in RNAcentral is "partial small subunit ribosomal RNA". The record is from RNAcentral. Lineage: Eukaryota; Viridiplantae; Streptophyta; Magnoliopsida; Poales; Poaceae.